CUGCUCAAUGAAUAUUUAAAUUGCUGUAGUAUUUUAACUAUACAAAGGUAUUGUWAUAAGAUUUUAAUUGAAUGCUAAAAGAAUGGAAGUUUAAGAAAAAACUUUUUUAAAAAUAAAAAUUAAAUUUUUUUUAAUUUGUGCAAAACCAAUUAUUUAUAUUAAAGACAAGAAGACCCUAUGAAUUUAUGAUUAAAUAAACUAAAAAUUUUUAGUUUAUUUAAUCUUGAUUGGGGCAAUCAAAAAAUAUUAAUAACUUUUUUAAAUUUAAAUGAUCUAUUAUUAAUAAUCUAAUGGAAUAAAUACUCUAGGGAUAACAGCGUAAUAAUUUUUGAUAGAUCUUAUAGACAAAAUAGUUUGCGACCUCGAUGUUGGAUUAGGAUUCUUUUUUAAUGAAGAUGUUAAAACAAGAAGUUUGUUCAACUUUUAAAUUCCUACAUGAUCUGAGUUUAGACC
RNAcentral lists this ribosomal RNA (453 nucleotides) under Hyalomma dromedarii. RNAcentral's name for it is "partial 16S ribosomal RNA". The record is from RNAcentral. Lineage: Eukaryota; Metazoa; Arthropoda; Arachnida; Ixodida; Ixodidae.